CCGCCCCUCGUCCCCCUCUCCUUCCUCCUCUCGUCCACUUCUCGGGAGCUUCUCCAUCUUUCGCGCGCUGGGGCUUCCGUAGUCGUUCUCGCCUUCAGUCAAAUUCCAGAAACAGGUUGGUUUCUACUCCCAUCAUCUCUAACUGUGUUUGUUGAUUAUCGUGGUAUGGAUUGAUUACAUCGUUCCCGGGACUUAAACAGAAUCAAGUCAGUGCAUCCUUUCGCCAAAUAUCUCAUGAAGGUCGCUGUACCACCUGAUUUCGUGCAAUACAGAGUAGGAGUAAGAGUUGCUCUUUUUUCUUCAACCUCGCCUCGAAAAAUCUGCGUCCGAGCACGAGUAUUUGUGCUUAUUUCUUACUGGGCAAGAGACUAUGGUGUUCUGGGUUCCUUUCGUGAGGUUUCGAGAUUUGGGUUUGAGAGUCGCUUAUGCCCGUAUCAAGUGAAUUGUGAUAAAAUCGAGGGAAGUUUUGAGACAUGAUACAUACAGUUCUGCGUUGGGGCCAAAAAAAUAGACAUUCAGAUAAGUAGACUUCUCUGAAUUAGCAAAUAGGCAGAGACAAGGUAAAAGGGAGCUCGCUUCUCUGUCUAGAUUGCCGUCUCUCACUUCUCUGGGUUUUCUUCGUUUUCCUUUCUUAAUUAUUCAUUUUUUUUGUCUGGUUUUGUGUGGUCGCUUUUGGCUGCUUGUGGAGUGAAGAUAGCUGGGUUCUCUGUUGAUGCCACAAUUUGAAUCGUCAGUCUUUGAGCUUAUAUAUGAUGCAGGUGUUGGGUCUCUGACUGUGUUGAUUUUUCGGGUAAGUUUUGAGGUUGCUUGAGCCUUUUGGGAGUAACGAAAUCUGUAGGCUUGAUUGGUUUUUCACUGCCGGUGCUUGUAGAUGUUUGCUGGAUCUUUUAAUCAUAAGCAAUUGUUAAAGUUGUGCAUAUCUUUAUGGAUGUUGUUCAGACUUGUUUAUUAUGUGCCACUCUAGAAAAGUUUGUGAAACAAUUUUCUCAGUUUCAAGUACAGUUGUGAUGAUCGUCAUGUAUUUUUAUAGCAGUCUCUCGAACUCCAGAUGCUCUUGUUCCUUAAGAACGUGUGGACAUGGAUGCUGAAUCACCAUUCUUUUGUUUGACUCAAAGUGUCAAAUUUUUUGAAAACUUGAUUGGAACUUGUUUCCAGCAGUUUCGAGGUCUUAUCCAGCACUUUGCAUCUCCAAGUGGAAUGGAGAAGAGGAACCAGUCGAUCAGGUGGAAUUGUUUUCCUUGAUCUACAGGAGUUAAAGG
RNAcentral lists this long non-coding RNA (1259 nucleotides) under Eucalyptus grandis. RNAcentral's name for it is "long non-coding RNA (EGRA_LNC001710)". The record is from RNAcentral. Lineage: Eukaryota; Viridiplantae; Streptophyta; Magnoliopsida; Myrtales; Myrtaceae.